UGGAUAGCUCAGUUUGUUAGAGCGUGGUGCUGAUUACGCCAAGGUUGCAGGUUUGAUCCCUGUUAUGGGAU
This 71-nucleotide transfer RNA is filed under the name Podarcis lilfordi (Lilford's wall lizard). RNAcentral's name for it is "tRNA.Ile". The stretch from base 4 to 64 matches the Rfam family "tRNA", at positions 7 to 64 of the family's 71-position model. From Rfam's summary of the family: Transfer RNA (tRNA) molecules are approximately 80 nucleotides in length. Their secondary structure includes four short double-helical elements and three loops (D, anti-codon, and T loops). The record is from RNAcentral. Lineage: Eukaryota; Metazoa; Chordata; Lepidosauria; Squamata; Lacertidae.